CCUACGGGCGGCAGCAGUGGGGAAUAUUGGACAAUGGGGGCAACCCUGAUCCAGCCAUGCCGCGUGUGUGAAGAAGGCCCUCGGGUUGUAAAGCACUUUCAGUGAGGAAGAACGCCUGGUGGUUAAUACCCAUCAGGAAAGACAUCACUCACAGAAGAAGCACCGGCUAACUCCGUGCCAGCAGCCGCGGUAAUACGGAGGGUGCGAGCGUUAAUCGGAAUUACUGGGUGUAAAGCGCGCGUAGGUGGCUUGAUAAGCCGGUUGUGAAAGCCCCGGGCUCAACCUGGGAACGGCAUCCGGAACUGUCAAGCUAGAGUGCAGGAGAGGAAGGUAGAAUUCCCGGUGUAGCGGUGAAAUGCGUAGAGAUCGGGAGGAAUACCAGUGGCGAAGGCGGCCUUCUGGACUGACACUGACACUGAGGUGCGAAAGCGUGGGUAGCAAACAGGAUUAGAUACCCGUGUAGUC
RNAcentral lists this ribosomal RNA (465 nucleotides) under Vreelandella stevensii. RNAcentral describes it as "partial 16S ribosomal RNA". It matches the Rfam family "Bacterial small subunit ribosomal RNA", at positions 338 to 795 of the family's 1533-position model. The record is from RNAcentral. Lineage: Bacteria; Pseudomonadati; Pseudomonadota; Gammaproteobacteria; Oceanospirillales; Halomonadaceae.